CGCACAUUGCGCCCUUUGGUAUUCCGAAGGGCAUGCCUGUUCGAGCGUCAUUAUAACCACUCAAGCCCUCGCUUGGUAUUGGGGCUCGCGGUCUCGCGGCCUCUAAACUCAGUGGCGGUGCCUGUCGGCUCUACGCGUAGUAAUACUCCUCGCGUCUGGGUCCGGCAGGUUGCCUGCCAGCAACCCCCAAAUUUUUACAGGUUGACCUCGGAUCAGGUAGGGAUACCCGCUGAACUUAA
RNAcentral lists this unclassified non-coding RNA (239 nucleotides) under Cadophora dextrinospora. Its description in RNAcentral is "partial contains 5.8S ribosomal RNA, internal transcribed spacer 2, and large subunit ribosomal RNA". The record is from RNAcentral. Lineage: Eukaryota; Fungi; Ascomycota; Leotiomycetes; Helotiales; Ploettnerulaceae.